Uloborus diversus is the source of this 299-nucleotide long non-coding RNA. RefSeq lists it as uncharacterized. The record is from RefSeq and is a predicted model, not a curated record. The transcript is spliced from 4 exons. NCBI's taxonomy places the organism in Eukaryota, Metazoa, Arthropoda, Arachnida, Araneae, Uloboridae.
UGAAAGAUCAUAUCUCUUUCGAUAAUUAUUAGAAGAUGUCCUACUACUACGUGGUGUGUGUAGUUGUUGCAUUCUUGCUGCUCAGUCAGUUGGAAUUUGCUGAAAUGCUUCCAGCACCAUUUUUUUUUAAGCCCAGCGGAUUUGAUUCCAAUCUUUCACUCGGCUAAAAUGUCAAGCUUUAAGCAAGACAAAGACUUCGAUAAAAUUAUGCAACAGGACGGAAGACACCAUUCGGCAACAAAACACGCAUAAGCAUUGUCUGAUGUUCUUUCGGCUCAAAUAAAGUCUUCUGAAAUGUU